RNAcentral lists this long non-coding RNA (786 nucleotides) under Olea europaea subsp. europaea. Lineage: Eukaryota; Viridiplantae; Streptophyta; Magnoliopsida; Lamiales; Oleaceae. The record is from RNAcentral.
AUAACCAAUAUUAGUUUUCUUUUGAACAAGCAGAAUCAUAUUUUGUACCAAUACAGAGUCACCAUGGAGAAAAAUCAAGAUUUAUUCAAUACUGGACAGAAAAAUAAAUUUCAAGUACAUUUCUCGUCCGCACUUCUCUUGCCGGUGAUAGUGAAGCGGCGAAACAUUAUCCUCUGUAAAACGACUAAGGAGACAAAUAUCAAUCAUAGGAAUCGAAAAGUAGAUAUUCAUGGAACCCCUUCUUCAUCACUUAACAAAUAUAAUGUCUGUUCAGAAAUACAUCUGAUUUUAGGAAAGCUAAACCCUUCUUUGCAUCAAUCAAUACGCUUAAGAAACUAUUUUUCUUUCCGUUAACCUUUUCACUUGAAAAUUGGUUAAUCUGUCAAUUUUGGACUGCUAAAACAUCCACAAAUCUGAUUGGAUUUGGCCCAUUUAGACCUAAUUUUUUUUUAAAGAACAAAAGGCUCAAAAUAUAAAUAAAAAUAAAAAUACCCAAUCCCAAACAUGUGGUUAUCAUCUUCUUCCUUCUUGCCUUCUUCCACCUGCGGCUCAUAUGAUUCAAGUCUGCUGCUCCCCGACAAAAAAUGUAAAUUCCAACGAAGCCAGCACUCGCGGUCACGCCCCUCGUCGGGUGCUAGCUCUGCCACUGGUUGCCGACGUGGAGCCGGAGGUGAUGUUGAUGAAUUUAGGGAGAAUAUAAAGUUUGGGUUGGGUUGAAUUAGGUUGCGUGGGCGUGAUGGGGAUUGGUGAAGGGGGUGGGCGUGGGGGUUAUAAUUUUUGUUUUGU